This 2296-nucleotide long non-coding RNA is filed under the name Strigops habroptila (Kakapo). Its description in RNAcentral is "lncRNA (ENSSHBG00005004862.1)". Lineage: Eukaryota; Metazoa; Chordata; Aves; Psittaciformes; Psittacidae. The record is from RNAcentral.
UUUUUUUCACUUUUCAGGAAUCAAGUUCCUCCUUGUAAUAUGAUCUAUAAUAAAUAGAGUUUUCUUGAGAAAACAUUUCUGAUAAUGUAGGUUCAUAGGCCUUAUUUGUAUAUCCUAUAACACAUUGAGCAGAGGGUUAAAUUAGAAGCAGUCAUCUAGUCAUUUGCCAGUUGUGUGCUUUUUUUCAGUUAAGCAAACCUUUUUUUGGUAAUGGAGACUAUUUAUCAACAAUCAAAUAUUCCAGGUAUUGAUUGAGCUGACUUGCAGAAAGAUUACUUGCACCUGAUAGAGGUGUUCUAUGUUGAUAUGUCAGAUAUCAUUCUAAAGAUACUUUGAUGUUUGGCUAUUAGUGAGGCCACACAUUUUAUUUUUUUUAUGCCCUCUUCUUUUUUCUUCCAAAAUACCUUUCACAUGUUUUUUAAUCUGUUCUCAUACAGGCUUUUAUAUUUGCAUAUCUAAAUUCUGUUUGUGGAAAAGGCACAUAUGAAUACCUCUGUUUCUAUAAAUAUAUAGGUGUACCUAUAUGACUUGUACAAACACCUGCAGGUAGAAAUUUGGUUACCAGUUUCAAGAAGUCUGCUGUGCAUUUAGCCAAGAAGUAGUUCAUUUCUCCGGAGUACCUCUACUUUUCAUAAAUAAUUGUUAAUUUUCUGGAAAAUUCAGGGACAUUCUCUUAGAGACCCCUCCUGAUAGUUUUAAAAGAGAUGCUUUGACAUACUUGACCUUUAGCCUUCUCUUUACUUUUCAUUUUACAUUUUCCUUGUUUUGUUUUACUGCCUUCUGUUGUUUGUGGUUAAGAUUCCAUUUCGAAUUUGUGAAGAGUCUUCUUGGAGGUCUUCUUGGAAAUUGUUUAGCAUUUGUUUUUCUGUGUUAGUUCUUGACAUGUUUUCUUCCAAAUUGUAAUUGAAUUCAGUCGUAUUUUGGUGGCUUUUCUGCAAUGUUCUGUACAGCUAUGGCUACUAUUCUUCAGGCUGUUUUCAAUUUACCAGAAACACUCAAGUACUUUGAGAUAUAAAACUGUUUCUGAAGCUACUGACCAUGUCUUGUAUUUUUCUUUUCCAUUUGGUGACUGUCUAACUCCUUUUCUGUUAAGGGCAGAAUACCCCCAAAUAUCCUUAUAGUUUGCUGUUGUCCUGCAGCUCUUUCAUGUCCUAGAAGUUUGUGGCAAAGUCACAGGAUGAUGUCAGAUGCUUUCAUUCCAUUGUUAACUAUUUUUGUUACUGUGCUUGCUGGGUGAAAUUAUUUCUAUAAAUAGAUGCUGUGGCCACAUUACUACUAUAGCAUAAUUUAAAUGUGGUAGACUUACAGUAGUAAUUUCUUAAUAAUGUCUGUGAAUCAGUGGUGGCCUGCAGUAGCUGGCUGCUCUAAAGCUAGAUCAUCUUGUUUGCAACUGCUACUUUAAAUUACAGACAGCUAAAGUGUAGGUCCUUGUAGUGUUGCGAGAAUUAACUUAGGGUCAUUGAGAAAAAGGUGGUUUUCAUUCAUAAAUGGGAGGGAAGAUGCUCUCCAGAGUUAGGAAUGUGAAAGAACUGGGGUAAUAUGUGCACUGAAUCCCCCAAGUUCUCUUCUUUAAAACCAAAUAACAGAGGUCUAAUGUUUUCAUAUUAGCAGGAACAUAGUGAGGUAAUUUUCUUUUACCACUUUUAUUUGAAGACCUUUAAAUGUUCUAGUGUGCAUGUAGAGAAAUUACCUCUGUCCCAUCCACCCUGAAAAUCCUCAUUCAGAAUCACUGUGUUUAAUGCAGUUAUGUGGUGUAAUAUCACAUACAUUGCUGUUUGGAUUUGGUUAGCUAGUGCAGGAAGGGCUGUAAUGAUAAAGUUUGUAAAACAUUUCAAGAAUCCCUGCACAUAAAGCUGUGCUUGAAAUUCGCAGCAGUGGAAGUCAGUACUUCCUGCACUGGGCCCAGAAACUGGAACCUCUAUGACAAAAGCAGGGUUUAAAUAACUGCAAAACUUGUAAUUAAGUUACUGUAAAAGCUAUAAAAUUCAAAGCAGAUUUUAUUGCACUGAGUUAAAAAAAUCAAUGUAAUAUUUGUGGUGAAUGUUGAAUAUUUCUGUAGCCAUGAGUUUGUGUGGGGAGAUCAAACUAGUACAGCUGUCUUCAGUCUCCUGUUAGUCUACAGAAAGAAAAUUUGCAUCAAGACGAAAGAUAGUGUAGGAGUUGAUGGGGGUUUGGCUGGCCUAUUUUACCAUUUAUUCCAGACGCUGGAGUUGUUGUCCCAGACAAAUUCCUUUCCCUGUCUAUUUGACUUCUGGUUCUUUAACAUCUUAAGAAUUAAAAAAAAAAAAAAAAAAAA